GCCGGCCGUCCUCCACCUCCCGGCGCGCUAGUCGACCAGCCGUUCAGACCUGACCUCGCAUGGUGAAGGAGGAUUUUAUUUUUUGGUCAUGUUAGCCCGCCUGUAUGUGUUGAUGGCCUGGCUGGCCCACCGCAGUCCGCCAUCUACCAUCCCGCCGGUAAAGAUCAAGAGCUUGUCUCCCCUCCCCUCCUCCUGGGAAGAGUGGAAACAGGCUUUAGGGAACAGUGUUUUGUCAGGAGAAAUCGGACGCGGUCGAAACUCUGCCAAACGGGCUCCAAAUUAACCGCACAAGUUGUUCGGAGUGAGAGAGAAGAUGGCGAGCUCGCACGAGAAUGUUGCAAGGAUUGCCCUUGCCCUGGGAAGGCGAUACCCUAUUCCCCUGGACCUUCCUUGGCCACGACGCUAAGGGCAGAUGCUGAUGUGCCGGCUAUCCGUUCGAUGGAAUGCGGCGUCAAUUCGACACCACCUUCAGCUUCAGGUUCUUCCCCUCAGGAAGCCUGAAUUCGGCUGGGUUGUUCAGUGUGAAGUACUUUCGCUCUCCCCUCCCCCAGUUUAGUGAUCAAGCGUAUGUGGUCUCAAAUAUUACAAGAAAAAAUUAGGCAAGUUUUGACCAAGAAAAGAAACGGUUGAGAUAAAUCGCUCUCUCCCUGGUCACACCCGUAACACCACAAUGAAGGAAGCCAAACCUUUGAGGUUGUUGUCGAGCCAUUUGGACUGCUUGGUGCGGACAUGGCUUGCCCACCACCACGAAUAGGCAUUGCUCGCCGCCCGCUGCAGCAUCCUGUUCCUGCCACUUUCAGCUCAAGAGU
Molecule: long non-coding RNA, 809 nt
Organism: Panicum hallii
Lineage: Eukaryota; Viridiplantae; Streptophyta; Magnoliopsida; Poales; Poaceae
Exons: 4
Source: RefSeq, a predicted model, not a curated record